CGGACUUGAGAGAGCUUGCUCUCUCAGUUAGUGGCGGACGGGUGAGUAACACGUGAGCAACCUGCCUUUAAGAGUGGGAUAACGGUCGGAAACGACCGCUAAUACCGCAUAAUAUACAUGAAUCGCAUGGUUUGUGUAUCAAAGAUUUAUCGCUUAAAGAUGGGCUCGCGUCUGAUUAGCUGGUUGGUGAGGUAACGGCUCACCAAGGCGACGAUCAGUAGCCGUACUGAGAGGUAGAACGGCCACAUUGGGACUGAGACACGGCCCAGACUCCUACGGGAGGCAGCAGUGGGGAAUAUUGCACAAUGGAGGAAACUCUGAUGCAGCGAUGCCGCGUGAGGGAAGAAGGUUUUCGGAUUGUAAACCUCUGUCUUAAGGGACGAUAAUGACGGUACCUUAGGAGGAAGCUCCGGCUAACUACGUGCCAGCAGCCGCGGUAAUACGUAGGGAGCGAGCGUUGUCCGGAAUUACUGGGUGUAAAGGGAGUGUAGGCGGGAUGGUAAGUUAGGUGUGAAAUGCGGAGGCUCAACCUCCGAGCUGCACUUAAAACUGCUGUUCUUGAGUGAAGUAGAGGUUGGCGGAAUUCCCAGUGUAGCGGUGAAAUGCGUAGAUAUUGGGAGGAACAUCAGUGGCGAAGGCGGCCAACUGGGCUUUUACUGACGCUGAGGCUCGAAAGCGUGGGGAGCAAACAGGAUUAGAUACCCUGGUAGUCCACGCUUGUAACGAUGAUUACUAGGUGUGGGGGGGGCUGACC
RNAcentral lists this ribosomal RNA (754 nucleotides) under uncultured bacterium. RNAcentral's name for it is "bacterial SSU rRNA". It matches the Rfam family "Bacterial small subunit ribosomal RNA", at positions 63 to 837 of the family's 1533-position model. The record is from RNAcentral.